RNAcentral lists this transfer RNA (90 nucleotides) under Paenibacillus macerans. The record is from RNAcentral. Lineage: Bacteria; Bacillati; Bacillota; Bacilli; Caryophanales; Paenibacillaceae.
GUGCCCGUAGGUCCUUGAAGCCGGUGCGUUUGCCGCGCGCGGCUUCUCGGUUAAAAGGGAAGCCGGUGCAAAUCCGGCACGGUCCCGCCA